AACGAACGCUGGCGGCAGGCCUAACACAUGCAAGUCGAGCGAGCAUUUCGGUGCUAGCGGCGGACGGGUGCGUAACGCGUGGGAACGUGCCCUUUUCUGCGGAAUAGUCCUGGGAAACUGGGGGUAAUGCCGCAUACGCCCUUUUGGGGAAAGAUUUAUCGGAGAAGGAUCGGCCCGCGUUGGAUUAGGUAGUUGGUGGGGUAAUGGCCCACCAAGCCGACGAUCCAUAGCUGGUUUGAGAGGAUGAUCAGCCACACUGGGACUGAGACACGGCCCAGACUCCUACGGGAGGCAGCAGUGGGGAAUCUUAGACAAUGGGGGCAACCCUGAUCUAGCCAUGCCGCGUGAGUGAUGAAGGCCUUAGGGUUGUAAAGCUCUUUCAGCUGGGAAGAUAAUGACGGUACCAGCAGAAGAAGCCCCGGCUAACUCCGUG
This 433-nucleotide ribosomal RNA is filed under the name uncultured bacterium. Its description in RNAcentral is "partial 16S ribosomal RNA". It matches the Rfam family "Bacterial small subunit ribosomal RNA", at positions 29 to 507 of the family's 1533-position model. The record is from RNAcentral.